This 421-nucleotide ribosomal RNA is filed under the name uncultured bacterium. Its description in RNAcentral is "bacterial SSU rRNA". It matches the Rfam family "Bacterial small subunit ribosomal RNA", at positions 355 to 774 of the family's 1533-position model. The record is from RNAcentral.
UAAGGAAUAUUGGUCAAUGGACGCAAGUCUGAACCAGCCAUGCCGCGUGAAGGAUGAAGGUCCUCUGGAUUGUAAACUUCUUUUAUCUGGGACGAAAACGGGAUUUUUAUCUCAAUUGACGGUACCAGAGGAAUAAGCACCGGCUAACUCCGUGCCAGCAGCCGCGGUAAUACGGAGGGUGCGAGCGUUAUCCGGAUUUACUGGGUUUAAAGGGUGCGCAGGCGGAUGGGUAAGUCAGGGGUGAAAGUCUGCAGCUUAACUGUAGAAUUGCCUUUGAUACUGCUCAUCUUGAGUGUGGGAGAGGUUGAUGGAAUUCCAGGUGUAGCAGUGAAAUGCGUAGAUAUCUGGAAGAACACCAGUGGCGAAGGCGGUCAACUGGCCCAUAACUGACGCUCAUGCACGAAAGCGUGGGGAGCGAACA